GCGGUUAUACGAGAGGCCCAAGUUGAUAGAUCCCGGCGUAAAGAGUGGUUAAGAUAAAUGAAUAAUUAAAGCCGAACGCCCUCAGAGCAGUUAUACGCAUCCGAAGGUAAGAAGCCCCAUAGCGAAAGUAGCUUUAUUAAUCCUGACUCCACGAAAGCUAAGGAA
Molecule: ribosomal RNA, 165 nt
Filed under: Serranus cabrilla (comber)
Lineage: Eukaryota; Metazoa; Chordata; Actinopteri; Perciformes; Serranidae
Description: partial small subunit ribosomal RNA
Source: RNAcentral